AUAUGAAGCUUUUUCUUUAUGAAAGGAGUUGCUUGAACUUCAAACACUUUUUCACAUUAGUAGGAAAAAAAUAAUUGCUGGAAUGAAGGGUUACUCCAAAGACAAAAUCUAAGACUGGCGAUUGUACAAUGCACGAAGAUCAGGAGAAACGAAGUGUCCCCCUUAUCAGACUACAUAGGUCCAUCCUAUCUGGCUGAUCUACAGUCUACCGUCUGCAUUAACUCUGGGGCUCCUGUAUCCUUUAUUGCAUAUUGUCUCCACUCUGCUGGAAUUCCUAGAGCUAAUCCAUUAACCACAAUACAUUAACUUCACAUCUUUCUGGUGUAGAGGGAAGGAUAUUGUGAGGGUCUUUCUGUGAAGAGAAACUCUUUCAAAUUUCAAGUCCACUACAUCAUGGAGAGAUCGUAAGUACAAGUGUCUCUUGACACAGUGCAAAAGUUCAGGGACAAGCAAAAAAGACUGAGCUUUUUCAAAUGAAUAGCCUACUUCUGAUGUAAAUUAUAUACCCUUGAAAUAUUGCAUGAGAAUAGUUUUUGAUAGUCU
This 543-nucleotide long non-coding RNA is filed under the name Phasianus colchicus (ring-necked pheasant). RNAcentral describes it as "lncRNA (ENSPCLG00000002554.1)". Lineage: Eukaryota; Metazoa; Chordata; Aves; Galliformes; Phasianidae. The record is from RNAcentral.